UGCUCCAUCCCGUUUCCUCUAAACGGCGUUGAAAAUGAGGCUGGACGGUGUGAAAUGCGGACCCGAGGAAGAGCUCCUACGACUCAGGAGGUGCUCUCACCGCCCACACCCCGCUCCCAGCUCCUCCGGCUCUGGCUCUCCAAGACUUCUUCUCUGGCUCUAGAAGAAAAGCCACGACAAAGAGCCGAUCACCAGUUUCAGGCCAACAUUGCGGGCAAGCAUUUUCAGUGUGUGCACCGUUUCAGGGUUGAACGGAUCCCUCCGAACAAGAGGGUCCCUCUUCCCACCCUGAUCGCCAUCCCAGACCCUCAUUCUAAGGAGCAGAUGACAGCCAUCUCCCUGUCUCGUGUGCCGCCGUGUCUCUAGGACCCAGGACAGGGCCUGGCACCAAGCUGGCACCCAGGGAAGGAAGGAAGAGCAGAUGAAUGAAUGCAUUAGGAACGCACAUCGGGGAAAUUCGUUGGCCAUGGGAAUCCGGAGCCUUACCGGCAUGCUCUGAUCCAGAAAUGCUACUUGUAGGAAUUCAGCUGAGCGUGCACAGACGGCCCGUUGGCAUCGUGUAUCCUGGGGAAGGCACUAGGGAUGAUGUACAUGUCCAGCAUCGGGUUCAACACAAAGCGGAAUGCUUGAUCUUUUCUUCCAGGUCCGCGUUUCCUCCAGGCUUCCCGGUACAGUACUUGGCAAUCCCUACCUGCUCCGCGAUUCCAGUCAGAUCUGGGCAUUGGGAUUUUAUUUCCCUUUUUUUUCUUUUUUAAUGAAAUCCACGCAGAGGGAGACAGACAUUUCCCGGCACCCAAGAGGGUCCCUCGUGUUCCCAUCCCAGUCGGUACCCCCCCUGCGCAGAGGGAACCCCCAUUCCGGCGGCUGCUGGGAUGGUUUUCCUGAGCCCUCAUGUCUCCGCACCCCUGAGCCGCCGGGCACAUGACCGACGAGGACACUAGCCUUGACCUCGGCAGAGGUGAGGGCCUCUAUCUGCCUGGCCUGGGAACCCUGACGUCAGCGGGCUGAGAGGCCGCGGAAGGCGGGUGAAGGAGGGGAGAGCCCGGCAGGGCCUGUGGUUUGAGUGAAGACAGAGAUUGCAUAAAAAUGGAGAGCCUUACCACAGCCUGGGGCCUGUCCCCGCCUGAGUCAUGCUGGAGCCCGAGGGAGGGGAAGGCAAGAGCCCAAAGCCCCUCGGAUCUCAAGCUGGCCCCGGCCUUGGAUGUGACAUGGCUGAAGUCAUCAAGGAUGAGCUCAGGCAGGGGCGCCUGGGGACCGGGGGGACACAGGUCAUUGGAUUCAGAGUCCACGUCCAGAGACCAUCUCGUCUCCAGGUCCUCAACGUAAUGACAUCUACAAAGACCCUGCGGAUGCUUCAUUUUGUAUGUCAACUCGACUGGGCCUGGGGUGCCCAGAUGAAACAUUCUUCCAGGGUGUGUGUGUGUGUGAGGGUGUUUCCAAAGAUUAGCAUUUGAAAUCAGCCGGUCCUGGUGUGGUGGGUGGGGGUCAUCGAUCUGCUGAAGCCUGAACAGAACAAAGGGCAGAGACUGUCCUACCGCUGGGCUGAGGCAUGGGCCCUCAUCUUCUUGCCCCUUGGCCUGGAUCCCACUGUCCUUGUCCCCAGGCAUUUGGACUCAGACGAGUUAUACGGUGAGUUUUCCUUCAUCUCCAGUUUGCGUAUGGUGGAGUGAGGGACUUCUCAGCCUCUAUAAUCAUGUGAACCCAUUCCAUCUCUCUCUCUCUCCAGGAGAGCCCUGACCAGUUACAGACCCUGUUACCAAAUGAGGUCACAUUCACAAACACUGUAGCUUAGGGCUUGGACAUAUCUUUUUGGGGGACACUAUGCAACACGUGACAGUGGGCUGCCCAAGGGCAGAGGCUGAACUGCAGAGGGGGUGGGGCUCCAUAGCCUUGUGGCCCCGGGUUUGAGCCCUCCAACCCUGAUCUCUUUGCUGUGGCGGCUCCCUCCCAGGUCCUUCAGGAACCUUCUCUGAAAACUGGAGGUAAUGGUUUUAUGAGUGCUUCCUCCAAGGCGCUGUGUUGAGACCCCUCACUGGUUAUAUAACCAAGUGAGUCACUCAACUGCUCUGAAUCUGAGUUUUCUCAUCUGUAAAGUGGCAAUAAUCACACUAUCCAUCUCAACAGGAUGUCGGAGAUUAAGUUUACAUUUCCCCAGGCUUUCCCUGUGCCCCUCGUGAAUGUUAUAUGAUGUUUUCUUUUUCUUCUUUUCUUUUAAAGUAAUCUCUCCACCCAACACUGGGCUCGAACUCAGGACCCCC
This is a long non-coding RNA of Suricata suricatta (meerkat), 2258 nucleotides long. RefSeq lists it as uncharacterized. The transcript has 3 exons. The record is from RefSeq and is a predicted model, not a curated record. Lineage: Eukaryota; Metazoa; Chordata; Mammalia; Carnivora; Herpestidae.